This is a microRNA precursor of Pan troglodytes (chimpanzee), 66 nucleotides long. The record is from Ensembl. NCBI's taxonomy places the organism in Eukaryota, Metazoa, Chordata, Mammalia, Primates, Hominidae.
CCGGGCUGACCCGCCUGGGAUUCCUGCCUUCUAGGUCUAGGCCCGGCGAGAGACUCCACACAGCGG